UACAGAGGUGGCAAGCGUUGUUCGGAAUUACUGGGCGUAAAGGGCGCGUAGGCGGUUCGAUAAGUCCCGUGUGAAAGCCCCCGGCUCAACUGGGGAACUGCACGGGAAACUGACGGACUUGAGUUCGGGAGAGGGAAGCGGAAUUCCGGGUGUAGCGGUGAAAUGCGUAGAUAUCCGGAGGAACACCGGUGGCGAAGGCGGCUUCCUGGACCGACACUGACGCUGAGGAGCGAAAGCCAGGGGAGCAAACGGG
This 253-nucleotide ribosomal RNA is filed under the name uncultured bacterium. RNAcentral's name for it is "partial 16S ribosomal RNA". It matches the Rfam family "Bacterial small subunit ribosomal RNA", at positions 524 to 776 of the family's 1533-position model. The record is from RNAcentral.